GUAGGUGGCAAGCGUUGUCCGGAAUUAUUGGGCGUAAAGCGCGCGCAGGCGGUCCUUUAAGUCUGAUGUGAAAGCCCACGGCUCAACCGUGGAGGGUCAUUGGAAACUGGGGGACUUGAGUACAGAAGAGGAAAGCGGAAUUCCAAGUGUAGCGGUGAAAUGCGUAGAGAUUUGGAGGAACACCAGUGGCGAAGGCGGCUUUCUGGUCUGUAACUGACGCUGAGGCGCGAAAGCGUGGGGAGCAAACAGGAUUAGAUACCCUGGUAGUCCACGCCGUAAACGAUGAGUGCUAAGUGUUAGGGGGUUUCCCGCCCCCCUUAGUGCUGCAGCUAACGCAUUAAGCACUCCGCCAGGGGAGUACGGCCGCAAGGCUG
Molecule: ribosomal RNA, 374 nt
Filed under: uncultured organism
Description: partial 16S ribosomal RNA
Rfam family: Bacterial small subunit ribosomal RNA
Source: RNAcentral